AGGGAAUCUUCGGCAAUGGACGAAAGUCUGACCGAGCAACGCCGCGUGAGUGAAGAAGGUUUUCGGAUCGUAAAGCUCUGUUGUAAGAGAAGAACGGGUGUGAGAGUGGAAAGUUCACACUGUGACGGUAUCUUACCAGAAAGGGACGGCUAACUACGUGCCAGCAGCCGCGGUAAUACGUAGGUCCCGAGCGUUGUCCGGGUUUAUUGGGCGUAAAGCGAGCGCAGGCGGUUAGAUAAGUCUGAAGUUAAAGGCUGUGGCUUAACCAUAGUACGCUUUGGAAACUGUUUAACUUGAGUGCAGAAGGGGAGAGUGGAAUUCCAUGUGUAGCGGUGAAAUGCGUAGAUAUAUGGAGGAACACCGGUGGCGAAAGCGGCUCUCUGGUCUGUAACUGACGCUGAGGCUCGAAAGCGUGGGGAGCGAACAGGAUUAGAUACCCUGGUAGUCCACGCCGUAAACGAUGAGUGCUAGGUGUUAGGCCCUUUCCGGGGCUUAGUGCCGCAGCUAACGCAUUAAGCACUCCGCCUGGGAAGUACGACCGCAAGGUUG
RNAcentral lists this ribosomal RNA (549 nucleotides) under uncultured bacterium. RNAcentral describes it as "bacterial SSU rRNA". It matches the Rfam family "Bacterial small subunit ribosomal RNA", at positions 356 to 896 of the family's 1533-position model. The record is from RNAcentral.